UGGGGAAUAUUGCACAAUGGGCGCAAGCCUGAUGCAGCCAUGCCGCGUGUAUGAAGAAGGCCUUCGGGUUGUAAAGUACUUUCAGCGGGGAGGAAGGGAGUAAAGUUAAUACCUUUGCUCAUUGACGUUACCCGCAGAAGAAGCACCGCCUAACUCCGUGCCAGCAGCCGCGGUAAUACGGAGGGUGCAACCGUUAACCGGAAUUACUGGGCGUAACGCGCACGCAGGCGGUUUGUUAAGUCAGAUGUGAAAUCCCCGGGCUCAACCUGGGAACUGCAUCUGAUACUGGCAAGCUUGAGUCUCGUAGAGGGGGGUAGAAUUCCAGGUGUAGCGGUGAAAUGCGUAGAGAUCUGGAGGAAUACCGGUGGCGAAGGCGGCCCCCUGGACGAAGACUGACGCUCAGGUGCGAAAGCGUGGGGAGCAAACAGG
Molecule: ribosomal RNA, 429 nt
Filed under: Chloroflexota bacterium
Lineage: Bacteria; Bacillati; Chloroflexota
Description: Chloroflexi bacterium partial 16S ribosomal RNA
Rfam family: Bacterial small subunit ribosomal RNA
Source: RNAcentral